RNAcentral lists this ribosomal RNA (340 nucleotides) under Salmonella enterica. RNAcentral's name for it is "partial 23S ribosomal RNA". It matches the Rfam family "Bacterial large subunit ribosomal RNA", at positions 853 to 1191 of the family's 2925-position model. Lineage: Bacteria; Pseudomonadati; Pseudomonadota; Gammaproteobacteria; Enterobacterales; Enterobacteriaceae. The record is from RNAcentral.
UUCUCCCCGAAAGCUAUUUAGGUAGCGCCUCGUGAACUCAUCUCCGGGGGUAGAGCACUGUUUCGGCUAGGGGGCCAUCCCGGCUUACCAACCCGAUGCAAACUGCGAAUACCGGAGAAUGUUAUCACGGGAGACACACGGCGGGUGCUAACGUCCGUCGUGAAGAGGGAAACAACCCAGACCGCCAGCUAAGGUCCCAAAGUCAUGGUUAAGUGGGAAACGAUGUGGGAAGGCCCAGACAGCCAGGAUGUUGGCUUAGAAGCAGCCAUCAUUUAAAGAAAGCGUAAUAGCUCACUGGUCGAGUCGGCCUGCGCGGAAGAUGUAACGGGGCUAAACCAUG